AGCAAACUAAGGGAGAGCCAAUACAAUUUGAAGAUCCAAACCUACUUCCUUUGCUUGCUGAAUUUUCAGAUAUAUUUGACGAACCGUACAACCUACCUCUUACCCGUCGGCAUGAUCAUUAUAUAAUGACUCUUUCAGGCAAACCUCCAGCAAAUACUCGGCCAUAUCAAUAUCUCCAGAAGGAUGAAAUAGAAAGGAUUGUAAAAG
This 207-nucleotide long non-coding RNA is filed under the name Musa acuminata (dwarf banana). Its description in RNAcentral is "long non-coding RNA (MACU_LNC008606)". The record is from RNAcentral. Lineage: Eukaryota; Viridiplantae; Streptophyta; Magnoliopsida; Zingiberales; Musaceae.